RNAcentral lists this ribosomal RNA (770 nucleotides) under uncultured bacterium. Its description in RNAcentral is "bacterial SSU rRNA". It matches the Rfam family "Bacterial small subunit ribosomal RNA", at positions 35 to 830 of the family's 1533-position model. The record is from RNAcentral.
GCUGGCGGUGCGUUUAAUACAUGCAAGUCGAACGAGAUUGUUAAAGAGUUUACUUUUUAACAUGAUAGUGGCGGACGAGCGAGUAACACGUAAGUAGCUACCCCGUACUCAGGGACAACCAGUCGAAAGAUUGGCUAAUACCGGAUGGUCUCGAAAGAGUAAAGAUUUAUCGGUACGGGAGGUGCUUGCGGCCUAUCAGCUAGUUGGUGAGGUAAAGGCUUACCAAGGCGAUGACGGGUAUCUGGUGUGAGAGCAUGACCAGACGCGAUGGGACUGAGACACGGCCCAUACUCCUACGGGAGGCAGCAGUAGAGAAUCUUCCGCAAUGGACGAAAGUCUGACGGAGCGACACCGCGUGGUGGAUGACACCCUUCGGGGCGUAAACACCUUUUAUGGGGGAAGAAAUUCUGACGGUACCCCAUGAAUAAGGACCGGCUAAUUACGUGCCAGCAGCCGCGGUAAUACGUAAGGUCCGAGCGUUAACCGGAAUUAUUGGGCGUAAAGCGUCCGCAGGCGGUUUAUCAAGUUGAUUAUUAAAUACCGAAGCUCAACUUCGGUGCUGUAGUCAAAACUGGUAAACUAGAGGUAUGGAGAGGUGCGUGGAAUUGUGCAAGUAGGGGUAAAAUCCGUAGAUAUGCAUAGGAACACCAAAAGCGAAGGCAGCGCACUGGCCAUUAUCUGACGCUCAGGGACGAAAGCGUGGGGAGCGAAAGGGAUUAGAUACCCCUGUAGUCCACGCCGUAAACGAUGCAUGCUUCGAUGUUGGGACC